CAGAGGCGAUGAAGGGCGUGCUAAUCUGCGAUAAGCGCCGGUAAGGUGAUAUGAACCGUUAUAACCGGCGAUACCCGAAUGGGGAAACCCAGUGUGAUUCGUCACACUAUCAUUAACUGAAUCCAUAGGUUAAUGAGGCGAACCGGGGGAACUGAAACAUCUAAGUACCCCGAGGAAAAGAAAUCAACCGAGAUUCCCCCAGUAGCGGCGAGCGAACGGGGAGGAGCCCAGAGCCUGAAUCAGCAUGUGUGUUAGUGGAAGCGUCUGGAAAGGCGCGCGAUACAGGGUGACAGCCCCGUACACAAAAGCGCAUGUGCUGUGAGCUCGAUGAGUAGGGCGGGACACGUGGUAUCCUGUCUGAAUAUGGGGGGACCAUCCUCCAAGGCUAAAUACUCCUGACUGACCGAUAGUGAACCAGUACCGUGAGGGAAAGGCGAAAAGAACCCCGGCGAGGGGAGUGAAAAAGAACCUGAAACCGU
Molecule: ribosomal RNA, 479 nt
Filed under: Salmonella enterica
Lineage: Bacteria; Pseudomonadati; Pseudomonadota; Gammaproteobacteria; Enterobacterales; Enterobacteriaceae
Also listed under: 4 other names
Description: partial 23S ribosomal RNA
Rfam family: Bacterial large subunit ribosomal RNA
Source: RNAcentral